This is a long non-coding RNA of Limulus polyphemus (Atlantic horseshoe crab), 2905 nucleotides long. RefSeq lists it as uncharacterized. NCBI's taxonomy places the organism in Eukaryota, Metazoa, Arthropoda, Merostomata, Xiphosura, Limulidae. The transcript has 2 exons. The record is from RefSeq and is a predicted model, not a curated record.
UACAGUUACAUAACAACCUGGAAUAAUUAGUUACAGCUACAUAACAACCUGGUUUAAUUAGUUACAGUUACAUAACAACCUGGUGUAAUUAGUUACAGUUACAUAACAACCUGGUGUAAUUAGUUACAGUUACAUAACAACCUGGUAUAAUUAGUUACAGUUACAUAACAACCUGGUAUAAUUAGUUACAGCUACAUAACAACCUGGUAUAAUUAGUUACAGUUACAUAACAACCUGGUGUAAUUAGUUACAGUUACAUAACAACCUGGUAUAAUUAGUUACAGCUACAUAACAACCUGGUUUAAUUAGUUACAGUUACAUAACAACCAGGUAUAAUUAGUUACAGUUACAUAACAACCUGGUAUAAUUAGUUACAGUUACAUAACAACGUGGUGUAAUUAGUUACAGCUACAUAACAACCUGGUGUAAUUAGUUACAGUUACGUGAUAGGUAGUGUAGCCUACAUCACUGGUUUAUGGUAAUUGUGUCAUUGAUAAAGUUCACUCCAAAAUGUAUUUAUUUAUCUCUUACUGCUGUUCUUGUGAAUGUAAGUAAGACGUUUGAAGUGUCUUCUGAAAUUAUUCCUAUAGAGGGAAUGUUCUAGUGAAAGAUAAAAUAAGUUCCUGCAAUAAUUGCUAAUAAAUUUGUUCAUGGAAAACUUUUACAGAGAACAUCAUCAUUAUAUAUAAUAAUGUAUAGUUUCUAUAUCUCUAGAAUUUCUUGUGACUGUAUUUUUAGAGACUAAGCCUUACAACUUAAUUAGAUACAUUUUUUUUAGGCCAUGCAUAUCUUUGCAGUUAGCGGGCCUAGACUUUGAUUCUGAGAAUUCAUGGUUUGUGACCCAUUGCUGCCAAAACACUUCACACUUUGGAGCCAUGGGUUGCUAUAAGAGUGGCAGUCAAAUCCCACUAUUCAAUCUAACAAAGGUAGUCCAAGAGUUGAAGGUGGGAUGGCUGUGUAUAAUUAAUCCUUCUGUUGCUUUACCCAAAAAAAUAAAGAAUCAGUGGAAGUCUCAAAUGGCUACCAUUUCGUUUAUCAAAUGAGUCAGAUAUUUGCUGUAGGUUUUUCAGUAUUAAAUACCAUAGAAGAAAGGAUUGUAGUUAUAUUAGUGUUAAAGUAUUUACAUGUUUUAAUUUUACCCUAGGAUUCAUGUCCUAUUUGCUCUGUUCAGAAGAGGAGACCUGGUUCGUCUAGUGACGGUAGAACAUAAAGGAAAGCCAUUCCAAAUUACCUAUAUCAUGAGUGGGGGCAAAGAAAAAAGUUUUCUGAACACUCCUGGUUGCAGUUAACCCUAAAUUUACUUUCAUGAUUUUGCAGAUUUGCAGAAUCCUUUUUAGUUCACCAUAUAGUAAUCUAAGUUAAUUUAGAAAAUAAUAUUAUGACAUUGCAUCUAAUGUAUUAUUCAAUAUUAUACAGUGGACCAACCGUUUAAUGGUUAAAUUAUGUAGUUCUCUUCACCGAUGAUAAAAUUGAAAAAAUAAUUUAACAUAAAGGCCUACUGUAUUCUUCGAUUAGCCAAACCCUCUACUGCAGACUGUAGUUUCACUUAUUGAAGGCUAAUCAGUAAAGCUUUGGUCAGUAAUGUAAACCAAAAAAAUGCAGUUAGGCCUUUUAUAAUGAUGAUGUUAUAUAAUAUUUAUGCAAUGCAAUGACUUUAUUCACACACUUAAAUAGAUUUUAAGUUAUUAUAAGAUGAGUUAAAAAGGACUCAAAAAUAUGAAUGUGAAAUAGUUUUCUGUUGAUUAUUUUGUUACAACUUACUAUUAUAACACGAAAAAAGAAUAUAAAUAGCAUACUGGGUGACCCAAAAGUCCAUUGACAAGGAAAUAAUUUGGAAAUGAAGAUGACCUCAAUGAUCCUGUCAGCAGGUAAUCCCAGAAUGCUUUAUUCCAUUGCAGAAAUAAUUAUUUUUCUAAACCUCUCCAUUUCUGAAUAAUUUUCCUGCAAGUGGAUGCUGAAUCUCCUUGUAUAUAGUUACAUAAAGAACAAGAAGAUACAGGAGUUAAACUCAUUGGCAGAAACUUGACUCUUAGAAAGUAUAAAAUAAUAUAUUAUAAUAAUAAUAAUACGACAUUUUGUUAAGGCUCUUUUGUUAGAGUAUCUUACAAAACAAUAACUAUGUUAUUACAUUAUGUAUUCAAUCAGUGACGUGUAAUAUCUUGUUUUGUUCAAUCUUAUAAACAUGUUUCUUCAGUUCAAUUCUACAAUUUGUUAAAAGUAAUUUAUUUGCAUCAGAACAUUUGAAACAGAAUAUAGAUUUUAUAAAUAUCGUGUUUUGAGUCAUCUUUGGCUCACCAUAAUGAUCCUACAUUUAUAUAAGAUUUUGAAGAAUAGGUAAAAUUGAUACUAUUUACAUAUUCUUUGGAAUUAGUUAGUUGACAAGCUGUUUUAAAUAAUAAAAUAGAUAUGCAGGCUAGUCUGUCACUUGAUCACCAUUUAUCACUUGUACUAGUUUUGGGGAAAUCGAACAAUAGAUUUGGCAUCAUAUUUAUUUGUAUUUUUUUGAAAAUAUGACUUUGUAAUUACAAUAUAUUAAUGUUAAACUUUGUAGUAAUUGUCUUUCAUUUGAUCUUACAUUUUCUGAAAAUAAUCAAAUAUUGGAGAAAUUAUAGCUUUUGUUUUGAACGAAUCUUGAUACUGUAUCAAAAAAAGACACUUUGUUUUUUGCUGGCUAAGUAAUCCUUGCAUUUCUUCAUUGAAUUCAACAAAUUAACUGAAGUUUAAUGAUAACAUUAGGUUAAAAACUUCUAGUUACACUGAAAUAUGACCAUUUGUAACCUUUCAAUUUUAAUGCUAGAAUUAAACUUACUUCAUUAUGGUGAACAUGUUAAUUUGAUUGAGAGAAAAUCUGAAAAGCUAUUUGCACUAUAACUAUUAUAUGAAUAAAAUAUUUUAUUAAAAUGUC